GAUGAACGCUAGCGACAGGCCUAACACAUGCAAGUCGAGGGGCAGCACAUGAGUAGCAAUACGAUGGUGGCGACCGGCGCACGGGUGAGUAACACGUAUGCAACCUACCUGUAAGAGGGGAAUAACCCGGAGAAAUUCGGACUAACACCGCAUAAUACCUCGAAGCUGCAUGGCUUUGAGGUUAAAUAUUUAUAGCUUACAGAUGGGCAUGCGUAACAUUAGAUAGUUGGUGAGGUAACGGCUCACCAAGUCAACGAUGUUUAGGGGUUCUGAGAGGAAGGUCCCCCACACUGGUACUGAGACACGGACCAGACUCCUACGGGAGGCAGCAGUGAGGAAUAUUGGUCAAUGGGCGAGAGCCUGAACCAGCCAAGUCGCGUGAAGGAAGAAGGUUCUAUGGAUUGUAAACUUCUUUUGUAAGGGAAUAAAAGAGUUACGUGUAACUUAUUGUAUGUACUUUACGAAUAAGGAUCGGCUAACUCCGUG
This 486-nucleotide ribosomal RNA is filed under the name uncultured bacterium. Its description in RNAcentral is "bacterial SSU rRNA". It matches the Rfam family "Bacterial small subunit ribosomal RNA", at positions 28 to 507 of the family's 1533-position model. The record is from RNAcentral.